Molecule: unclassified non-coding RNA, 145 nt
Filed under: Chalara sp.
Lineage: Eukaryota; Fungi; Ascomycota; Leotiomycetes; Helotiales
Also listed under: 2 other names
Description: partial internal transcribed spacer 2
Source: RNAcentral
CAACACUCAAGCUCAGCUUGGUCUUGAGCCUAGCCGGUCACGGCGGGCUUUAAAAUUAGUGGCGGUGCCACCUGGCUCUAAGCGUAGUAAUACUCCUCGCUAUUGAGUUCUGGUGGACGCUGGCCAGCAACCCCCAACUUUCUAA